UACGGGGGGGGCAAGCGUUGUUCGGAAUUACUGGGCGUAAAGGGCUUGUAGGUGGCCAACUAAGUCAGACGUGAAAUCCCUCGGCUUAACCGGGGAACUGCGUCUGAUACUGGAUGGCUCGAGUUUGGGAGAGGGAUGCGGAAUUCCAGGUGUAGCGGUGAAAUGCGUAGAUAUCUGGAGGAACACCGGUGGCGAAGGCGGCAUCCUGGACCAACACUGACGCUGAGUGAGCGAAAGCCAGGGGAGCAAACGGG
Molecule: ribosomal RNA, 254 nt
Filed under: uncultured bacterium
Lineage: Bacteria
Description: partial 16S ribosomal RNA
Rfam family: Bacterial small subunit ribosomal RNA
Source: RNAcentral